GAUGAAGAACGUAGCGAAAUGCGAUACGUAAUGUGAAUUGCAGAAUUCAGUGAAUCAUCGAGUCUCUGAACGCACAUUGCGCCCCCUGGUAUUCCGGGGGGCAUGCCUGUCCGAGCGUCAUUGCUGCCCUCAAGCACGGCUUGUGUGUUGGGCCUCCGUCCUCCUCCCGGGGGACGGGCCCGAAAGGCAGCGGCGGCACCGCGUCCGGUCCUCGAGCGUAGGGGGCUUCGUCACCCGCUCUUGUAGGCCCGGCCGGCGCUUGCCGACACAUCAAUCUUUUUUCCAGGUUGACCUCGGAUCAGGUAGGGAUACCCGCUGAACUUAAGCAUAUCAAUAAGCGGAGGA
This 345-nucleotide unclassified non-coding RNA is filed under the name soil metagenome. RNAcentral's name for it is "partial contains 5.8S ribosomal RNA, internal transcribed spacer 2, and large subunit ribosomal RNA". The stretch from base 1 to 120 matches the Rfam family "5.8S ribosomal RNA", at positions 35 to 154 of the family's 154-position model. The record is from RNAcentral.